GAUAUAAAAUGGCUGUCAAACAGAAAUCAGGGACCAAAUUCUCCUUUUCUUUCCCCCCCCCCCACUUCUAGCCAGAAUUUUCUGUUGCCUAUAAAUCUCACACAGAUAGAUAUCCUACUGACAGUUCAUAGUGGUCCCUCCCCUCAUGCUGAAAAAUUAAUAACAUUAAAUUUAGCCAUAAACAGCCAAGCAUAAUGGACAAAAACCAUAAUAAAAUCAUAAUAAAACCUGAAGGAUAGGGAUGGAAAUCCGUCCCAUUCUAAACCCAAAAAAAUUCAUUUAACGAAACCCUAUAGCAUUUGAGAUUUGCCCUUCA
Molecule: long non-coding RNA, 316 nt
Filed under: Elaeis guineensis (African oil palm)
Lineage: Eukaryota; Viridiplantae; Streptophyta; Magnoliopsida; Arecales; Arecaceae
Description: long non-coding RNA (EGUI_LNC017516)
Source: RNAcentral